RNAcentral lists this unclassified non-coding RNA (353 nucleotides) under soil metagenome. Its description in RNAcentral is "partial contains 5.8S ribosomal RNA, internal transcribed spacer 2, and large subunit ribosomal RNA". The stretch from base 1 to 120 matches the Rfam family "5.8S ribosomal RNA", at positions 35 to 154 of the family's 154-position model. The record is from RNAcentral.
GAUGAAGAACGCAGCGAAAUGCGAUAAGUAAUGUGAAUUGCAGAAUUCAGUGAAUCAUCGAAUCUUUGAACGCACAUUGCGCCCGCCAGUAUUCUGGCGGGCAUGCCUGUUCGAGCGUCAUUACAACCCUCAGGCCCCCGGGCCUGGCGUUGGGGAUCGGCGGAGCCCCCCCGUGGGCACACGCCGUCCCCCAAAUACAGUGGCGGUCCCGCCGCAGCUUCCAUCGCGUAGUAGCUAACACCUCGCGACUGGAGAGCGGCGCGGCCACGCCGUAAAACACCCAACUCUUCUGAAGUUGACCUCGAAUCAGGUAGGAAUACCCGCUGAACUUAAGCAUAUCAAUAAGCGGAGGA